GGAUACAUAGCUCAGAUGGUAAGAGCGUCCGGCUCAUAACCGGAUGGCCGUAGGUUCGAGUCCUACUGUAUCCA
Molecule: transfer RNA, 74 nt
Filed under: Bacillota bacterium
Lineage: Bacteria; Bacillati; Bacillota
Description: tRNA-Ile
Rfam family: tRNA
About the family: Transfer RNA (tRNA) molecules are approximately 80 nucleotides in length. Their secondary structure includes four short double-helical elements and three loops (D, anti-codon, and T loops).
Source: RNAcentral